This 498-nucleotide ribosomal RNA is filed under the name uncultured bacterium. Its description in RNAcentral is "partial 16S ribosomal RNA". It matches the Rfam family "Bacterial small subunit ribosomal RNA", at positions 30 to 523 of the family's 1533-position model. The record is from RNAcentral.
AUUGAACGCUGGCGGCAUGCCUUACACAUGCAAGUCGAACGGUAACAGGUCUUCGGAUGCUGACGAGUGGCGAACGGGUGAGUAAUACAUCGGAACGUGCCUAGUAGUGGGGGAUAACUACUCGAAAGAGUGGCUAAUACCGCAUGAGCUCUACGGAUGCAAGCAGGGGAUCGUAAGACCUUGUGCUACUAGAGCGGCCGAUGGCAGAUUAGGGAGUUGGUGGGAUAAAAGCUUACCAAGCCGACGAUCUGUAGCUGGUCUGAGAGGACGAUCAGCCACACUGGGACUGAGACACGGCCCAGACUCCUACGGGAGGCAGCAGUGGGGAAUUUUGGACAAUGGGCGCAAGCCUGAUCCAGCAAUGCCGCGUGCAGGAUGAAGGCCUUCGGGUUGUAAACUGCUUUUGUACGGAACGAAAAGCCCCGGGUUAAUACCCUGGGGUCAUGACGGUACCGUAAGAAUAAGCACCGGCUAACUACGUGCCAGCCGCCGCAGUAA